GCAAAACCGGGAAAUUUUCUCCUUGACAUUCUCUUCUAGUUCCGUUGUGCUCCGGCAUGCUAAUAUGUUGGGAGUCAAUCCCAGGCUUCUCAAACCUCUAACACUGUGCUGAGUAGGUUUUGUUUUCUGCUCACCAACUACACUCAAAACAGGAACAAGGCUAACAUGUAUCAAGCAAAAAUUACCAGCACCUACACGAUAUGAGAAUUGUCCUAAUGCUUCAAUAAAUGGCAUUGAUUCAAU
RNAcentral lists this unclassified non-coding RNA (243 nucleotides) under Hevea brasiliensis (rubber tree). The record is from RNAcentral. Lineage: Eukaryota; Viridiplantae; Streptophyta; Magnoliopsida; Malpighiales; Euphorbiaceae.